Molecule: ribosomal RNA, 560 nt
Filed under: Bacillus sp. Ni49
Lineage: Bacteria; Bacillati; Bacillota; Bacilli; Caryophanales; Bacillaceae
Description: bacterial SSU rRNA
Rfam family: Bacterial small subunit ribosomal RNA
Source: RNAcentral
CGCUGGCGGCGUGCCUAAUACAUGCAAGUCGAGCGGACAGAUGGGAGCUUGCUCCCUGAUGUUAGCGGCGGACGGGUGAGUAACACGUGGGUAACCUGCCUGUAAGACUGGGAUAACUCCGGGAAACCGGGGCUAAUACCGGAUGCUUGUUUGAACCGCAUGGUUCAAACAUAAAAGGUGGCUUCGGCUACCACUUACAGAUGGACCCGCGGCGCAUUAGCUAGUUGGUGAGGUAACGGCUCACCAAGGCGACGAUGCGUAGCCGACCUGAGAGGGUGAUCGGCCACACUGGGACUGAGACACGGCCCAGACUCCUACGGGAGGCAGCAGUAGGGAAUCUUCCGCAAUGGACGAAAGUCUGACGGAGCAACGCCGCGUGAGUGAUGAAGGUUUUCGGAUCGUAAAGCUCUGUUGUUAGGGAAGAACAAGUGCCGUUCAAAUAGGGCGGCACCUUGACGGUACCUAACCAGAAAGCCACGGCUAACUACGUGCCAGCAGCCGCGGUAAUACGUAGGUGGCAAGCGUUGUCCGGAAUUAUUGGGCGUAAGGGCUCGCAGGCG